GGCGCGCCCCGGGCGGGGCGGGGGCACGGGGGGAACGCGAAGAACCUUACCAAGGCUUGACAUACACCGGAAAGCAUCAGAGAUGGUGCCCCCCUUGUGGUCGGUGUACAGGUGGUGCAUGGCUGUCGUCAGCUCGUGUYGUGAGAWGUUGGGUUAAGUCCCGCAACGAGCGCAACCCUUGUCCCGUGUUGCCAGCAGGCCCUUGUGGUGCUGGGGACUCACGGGAGACCGCCGGGGUCAACUCGGAGGAAGGUGGGGACGACGUCAAGUCAUCAUGCCCCUUAUGUCUUGGGCUGCACACGUGCUACAAUGGCCGGUACAAUGAGCUGCGAUACCGCGAGGUGGAGCGAAUCUCAAAAAGCCGGUCUCAGUUCGGAUUGGGGUCUGCAACUCGACCCCAUGAAGUCGGAGUCGCUAGUAAUCGCAGAUCAGCAUUGCUGCGGUGAAUACGUUCCCGGGUCUUGUACACAC
This 471-nucleotide ribosomal RNA is filed under the name Streptomyces erythrogriseus. RNAcentral describes it as "bacterial SSU rRNA". The record is from RNAcentral. Lineage: Bacteria; Bacillati; Actinomycetota; Actinomycetes; Kitasatosporales; Streptomycetaceae.